CUCUGUUAAAGAUGUUCCCAUAAAGAGGUGAGAGUCAUAUAUGGUUCACCUGUUCAACCACUUACGGUCAUCUACUAUGGGACUAGCACAGUGUAGUUACACCAAGACAAAACACACUUCCUGUUAAGAUUUCAUAAUCUGCGUAGGGAGGAGAGAUCUGUACACAUGAGAAAGUAAUGCAGACAACAAGGAUAGCUGGGAUGUGCUGCGGUCUGGAAGUCAGGGAGGUCUUCGUGGAGACUGAGGAACCCAUCUGAUUUUGGAGGAUAACAGUAUUAGAAAGAAGGACGUCUUUGAAUGGAGAGACUGGGAGCAGAGUGUUAUGUGAAAGUUGAGUGGUGUGAAUGGUUAAGAUUGUAGAAGAGAUAGAGGCCAAGGUAGAAAGCUGAGACUUGAUCCUAACAGGCAAUGAAAAUUUUCAAUUGAGGUAAAAAGACUAGGCAGGAAACUACUGUAAAUGCAGAUAUAGUUGAUAUUCCCUGUAAAUAAUGUGGAUUCAGGAAACUACAGAAAGAAAAAAAUCCAAAGAAACAAAAGAAUCAGGAUGACAUAUCUAUCAGAAGCCGAAGAAUUUCAAAUUUCAAAUGUGAAAGGAGGAAAACCCAAAAUGAUUCUGAAUUGCUCCACCAAAAUGGAGUUCGCACUUCAAAUCAGAACAAAGUAAAAAGGAAAUGUCCACAGCAUGAAAAGGAUCAAGUUUAAAUAAGUCACAGUGUGUAAGAGCAGGCAUGCUUCUCUGGGUGUUCCAGAGAGAGAUCCCUUGGGGAGAAGGAAGAUUCGAAGCACAGAGCCUCGUUUUUAAUCUGGUUCAGCCAUGGUUCCCCACAUUGGUGGUCAGAGAUGGGACCAUGGAGGUUUUACUCCUGGCUCAUCUGCAAAGUGAACAAUUAAUUAAAGACCAACCAGGUUGUUUUUUCCCCCUCCUAUAGCACCAUAGCUUUGAGACCAAGCCCCCUAACCUUACCAUUUCGGCAGCGGCUGAAAGGUCUAGACUUUGCAGUUUGCCUGCCAGUUCGUCCAGAAGACGGGCCUGCUCUGCCUGUUUUUCCCGGAACUGGGUCUCCUGCUCCAUCAUCAAGUGUUCCACGCUUUCCCUGGUGAUCUCCGACUGCUCCACAGUGUUGUUGGGGUCAGUGGUGGAGGCAUUCACCCUCUUCUCUGCCUCUAGGGAGAUCUGGAAAUACUUGGUGAUGCUAUCCAGGGCACCUAGGGCACAAAGUCAAAUUACCCACAGUGAAUCCCCUUGUACUCAAUCUCAUCAAGCAAUGUCCAUCUGUGGUGUCUUCCAGCCUAAAGGUACUAUAUGGUUGGUUUUAAAAUUUAAGAAAUAAAAUCAUUGAGAAA
Pipistrellus kuhlii (Kuhl's pipistrelle) is the source of this 1344-nucleotide long non-coding RNA. RefSeq lists it as uncharacterized. The record is from RefSeq and is a predicted model, not a curated record. Lineage: Eukaryota; Metazoa; Chordata; Mammalia; Chiroptera; Vespertilionidae. The transcript has 2 exons.